Sinocyclocheilus grahami is the source of this 379-nucleotide long non-coding RNA. RefSeq lists it as uncharacterized. The transcript is spliced from 3 exons. Lineage: Eukaryota; Metazoa; Chordata; Actinopteri; Cypriniformes; Cyprinidae. The record is from RefSeq and is a predicted model, not a curated record.
CCCGCCCUCUGCUGUAUUUGACCAUGUUGGCGCCUAUACAGUCGUGUACUGGCUUAAUUUGGCCUCUAUACAUGUUCUUUUCUGCAGCUAGAGAUUCUAGGAAACCACUUUUUGCGUCACGCCUGCACUUCAUGUUUUUGCUGAAUGGACGUUUGUGAAGUCAGGCGUGUUGAUCAGCUGAUGGGAGCGGAGCUGCUGUUGUGAGUCUGAGGAAACGGAGCGUUACUUUGCUUGAGGUAUCUGCGGACUAAAAUAGACAUACCGCUACUAUUCUACCUCAGCAGCUGAAAACUACAUCACAGAAAGCGAUAACGUUAUGCGCAUGCAGUGGAUUUCAUUCCUUGUGAUUCCUCGCUGCUGUUGUUCCAGUGAUGUCGGG